UAGUGGCGAACGGGUGAGUAACACGUGGGCAAUCUGCCCUUCACUCUGGGACAAGCCCUGGAAACGGGGUCUAAUACCGGAUAACACUCUGUCCCGCAUGGGACGGGGUUGAAAGCUCCGGCGGUGAAGGAUGAGCCCGCGGCCUAUCAGCUUGUUGGUGGGGUGAUGGCCUACCAAGGCGACGACGGGUAGCCGGCCUGAGAGGGCGACCGGCCACACUGGGACUGAGACACGGCCCAGACUCCUACGGGAGGCAGCAGUGGGGAAUAUUGCACAAUGGGCGAAAGCCUGAUGCAGCGACGCCGCGUGAGGGAUGACGGCCUUCGGGUUGUAAACCUCUUUCAGCAGGGAAGAAGCGAGAGUGACGGUACCUGCAGAAGAAGCGCCGGCUAACUACGUGCCAGCAGCCGCGGUAAUACGUAGGGCGCAAGCGUUGUCCGGAAUUAUUGGGCGUAAAGAGCUCGUAGGCGGCUUGUUGCGUCGGUUGUGAAAGCCCGGGGCUUAACCCCGGGUCUGCAGUCGAUACGGGGCAGGCUAGAGUGUGGUAGGGGAGAUCGGAAUUCCU
RNAcentral lists this ribosomal RNA (565 nucleotides) under Streptomyces sp. 322E12. Its description in RNAcentral is "bacterial SSU rRNA". It matches the Rfam family "Bacterial small subunit ribosomal RNA", at positions 93 to 671 of the family's 1533-position model. The record is from RNAcentral. Lineage: Bacteria; Bacillati; Actinomycetota; Actinomycetes; Kitasatosporales; Streptomycetaceae.